AUGCAGGUUGAAUCGGAGGUCGACGCAUCGGCGGCAGAGACCGCCACGGCCAGGGCCUCGGCGGCGGUGCUCACCGCGCCGCUGUCGCUGGAAGGGGGCCUCGCGGCGGAGCUCCAGCCGGCCAACCUUGUGCAGCGGGUGCUCAGCCUCUUCGGGAACGUCAGGCCGGGCGCCGAUCUCUCGCACUUCCAGCUGCCUGCUACGUUCAACCUGCCAAAAUCGCAGCUCCAGUUGUACGGAGAAAUAGUCUACUGCGACGGAGACGACUACCUGAGCAGAUGCGGCAAAGGCAAGGACAGCCUCGAGCGCUUUACGGCGGUCGUCGCAUGGAGCAUCUCGACGACGAGGCCGCCCAUCUUCGGUUUCGCUCCUUACAACCCGGUCCUCGGAGAGACGCACCAUGUCUCCAGAGGGUCACUCCAUGUCCUUCUUGAGCAGGCAACCCAACUUGUGUGUCAUAAACCCCCGGUCUCUGCACUUCACGCUACCGAUGAUGGCGGGAACGUGGAGCUUGUCUGGAGUCAACACCCAGUGCCGAAAUUUAAUGGUGCUAGCAUAGAGGCAACGGUGCACGGCAAGAGGCAAGUCAGGCUUCCAAAGUUCAACGAGACAUACGAGAUGGGCUGUCCAAACCUUCUCAUCAGGCUGCUUCCUGGGCCCUCCGUCGAGUGGUCUGGCACCGUCAGGAUCGUCUGCAAGGACUCCGGGCUCGAGGCAGAAUUGAGCUACCACAGAAGCAACUCCUUCAUGGGAAUGGGAGGUGACGGGAGGUGCGUCAAGGGCAAGGUGUUCCGUUCAUCGAACCCGCAGGACGCCGUCUUCGAGAUCGAUGGCUACUGGGACAGGACUGUUUCGCUCAAGGAUGUCGAGAGUGGGGAGGUCUUGGUUCUCUACGACGCGAACCUCUCCAUCGCGAACCUCAUCACACCGGAGGUUAAAGACGAAGAGGGCUUGUCAUCUACCGAGUCGGCGGUCGUCUGGAGCGAAGUCAGCGAGGCUAUCCUGGCGAAGGACUGGGAGAAGGCUAGCGAGGCGAAGCGGAAAGUCGAGGGCACGGCCAGGAGCCUUGAGAAGGAGAGGAGUGAGAAGGGAGAGGUGUGGAUGCCCAAGCACUUCUCAUUGUCCCAGGACAAGGAUGGGAACUGGGACUGCUGUCCAUUAGAGAAAUCAGUGCGUCCAGCUCCUAUCAUUGUACCUUCUUCAUGA
This 1206-nucleotide ribosomal RNA is filed under the name Triticum aestivum (bread wheat). RNAcentral describes it as "partial small subunit ribosomal RNA". The record is from RNAcentral. Lineage: Eukaryota; Viridiplantae; Streptophyta; Magnoliopsida; Poales; Poaceae.